This is a long non-coding RNA of Lineus longissimus, 2369 nucleotides long. RefSeq lists it as uncharacterized. The transcript has 7 exons. NCBI's taxonomy places the organism in Eukaryota, Metazoa, Nemertea, Pilidiophora, Heteronemertea, Lineidae. The record is from RefSeq and is a predicted model, not a curated record.
UUUUGAAAGAGUCAACAGUCUAUGACAGUUAUCGCCGAAGCAGCAGCUUGAUUUGAAUUUAACUGGUCGUCGCUAAUUUGAUAAGAAAGAUGAACUUCUUUUCGGGCUUAUCUUACCUCUUGUUGGUCUUGCUGGUCCUGCUGGUGACUGGGGCCAUUGAUGGAACAUCGGCUUGCUCCUGGACCCCAGGUACCUUAUGUUUGGGCAACUGGGAUUGUUGCACUGGCAGUGGCUUAAGGUGCGAUUUCUUCGCAUGUCGACCAACAUAAUGAUCGAAGAAUGUACAUCAUCUGUUAAAUAAAGGAGGAAAAUAUAUGAUGUGAAAUGAUGAAUUCGCAUUCUUUCUAUAUUUUUGUGCGAUUGUAUAGGUGUGGCCCUGUUGCUUGCUUUCUACCUCUCCCUCUCUCUCAGACGGAUGCCCUGCGGUCUGGUUUAUAUAUGAGGCCAUAUAAGGGCCAGCCAAUGAUAGCCGGGUCAACAAUAGUUACCCUGGCGAGCUAUAAGGGAACCAGUACAAGACCCACCUGAAAUUCGCAAGCCUUGUCCAACCUGUAAACUAUCAAGAGAUCACAUCUGUGGUAGACUCCCGGGACAGUCCAGUUCGUCAUAUCAUUCAUACUGUCUUAAAUAGGGUGAGGCCGGUCCACUUCGUCCAGAGUGUACUUUGUGGCGGGGUAUGGCGACGAACAGGGGUAUUUUCAUACUGGUUACACAAAUCCCCAGCCCAAUUGCAAGUUGUCCCUGAUAGUGCUGGUACGGUUUAAAAGAAGACAAACUAAAUGAAUGGACAGCAUUCCCACUACACAACUGCAUUACAAACUGAUAAAUAGCGGACUAAACGGAAAACUUCUUAACAUUGUAAAAUUUAUUUAUGAUAAUGCCAAAUCUUGCGUUGCAACAAAUGCAACAGUGUCAAACUUUUUUAGGUGUGAUAUAGGUGUGCGCCAAGGAGACAACUUGUCACCAUUCUUCAAAUAUCAAACUACCAUCAAAUACUUAUUUAAUUGACGCACCCGCUGAUAAUAAAAAGUGCCCAAAAUGUUAUAAUAACGAGCUUGGCGAUGAAUUUCAUUUCCUAUUCAAAUGUCCUCUAAUAAAAGAAUUACGGAAACAGUUUAUACCAAAAGAAUUUCUUACAAAACCUAAUACAUGUACUGUAAAUUUUGAAAGGAUCAUUAAUACAAAAAAUUAGACUCAUAGGUACAAGUUAGCAAAAUUCAUCUCACUAGGAAUGAAACUAUAUUGUGAUAAUAAGUAAACCCUGAAUUUAGCUAGUAAUUAUUUUCUGUUUGAACGUAUUUUAUAUAGAACGCUAUCAAUCAAUUACUUUGUAAUUUAAAUAUGUAUAUUGACCUCCUGUAUACCACAAAUGUGGUCGAUGGAGUGAAUAAACUUACUUACUUACUUACUCAAGAGAAUGCUAUACAAUAAAAGACCUAUACAAUAAAAGACCUAAUACUGAAACCACAUGUCUGUCGACUGUGCUAUAAGAGAGACUGACACCACUAUACCCCCUCACACUCAGAAACCACAAACGCCCACCCCUUCCUGCUACCUUAAUACUUCUGGGUGUUGGCAAUUUCGAUCCUGAAUUGAUCAUGGACCACAGAGGUCCUCCACAUUAUUUGCAUUUCACCUGAUCACCUUGGUGACCAUCUGUCCCCUUAUAAGCCCCUCUGACGAGAGUCAUUGAAGAAGAAGCUCUAACUGUAUCGCCUUGAGUUGAGCGACCUCGCAAUGGAGUCCAGGGCCCAGAGCUAUUCAUGUUUAGCAAGCAAACAGGAAUCUUUCUAAGCUAAGAAAGAUUUUAUGGAAUAGAAUUAGCAAGUACAGUAACUAGAGAUAGAGUGGAAGUUAGCAACCAACAAGGCAUAGAAUGGUUUUGUGGAAUUUGGCCCAUGCAGUUUACUGUUUGAAAUUACCCUGACAAGUUGUGUCGCUUACAGAUGUUCGAAAUGAAUUAUUUAAGAAAAAACCUAUGAAUAAACUUACCGGUAUCUCCAGAAUACAAUUAUUAUCAAUUGUCAAUUGUAUAUAUUUUGAAAGAGUCAACAGUCUAUGACAGUUAUCGCCGAAGCAGCAGCUUGAUUUGAAUUUAACUGGUCGUCGCUAAUUUGAUAAGAAAGAUGAACUUCUUUUCGGGCUUAUCUUACCUCUUGUUGGUCUUGCUGGUCCUGCUGGUGACUGGGGCCAUUGAUGGAACAUCGGCUUGCUCCUGGACCCCAGGUACCUUCUGUUUGGGCAACUAUGCUUGUUGCUGGGCCAGUGGCUUAAGGUGCGAUUUCUUCGCAUGUCGAUCAGCAUAAUGAUCGAAGAAUGUACAUCAUCUGUUAAAUAAAGGAGGAAAAUAUAUGAUGUGAAAUGAUGAA